CCCGCGGUAGCUCAGCCUGGUAGAGCUUCCGACUCCAAACCGGAGUGUCGCAGGUUCAAAUCCUGCCCGCGGGACCA
Molecule: transfer RNA, 77 nt
Filed under: Nitrososphaeria archaeon
Lineage: Archaea; Thermoproteati; Nitrososphaerota; Nitrososphaeria
Description: tRNA-Trp
Rfam family: tRNA
About the family: Transfer RNA (tRNA) molecules are approximately 80 nucleotides in length. Their secondary structure includes four short double-helical elements and three loops (D, anti-codon, and T loops).
Source: RNAcentral